GUGGGGAAUAUUGGACAAUGGGCGAAAGCCUGAUCCAGCCAUGCCGCGUGUGUGAAGAAGGUCUUCGGAUUGUAAAGCACUUUAAGUUGGGAGGAAGGGUAGUAACCUAAUACGUUGCUACUUUGACGUUACCGACAGAAUAAGCACCGGCUAACUUCGUGCCAGCAGCCGCGGUAAUACGAAGGGUGCAAGCGUUAAUCGGAAUUACUGGGCGUAAAGCGCGCGUAGGUGGUUCAGUAAGUUGGAAGUGAAAUCCCCGGGCUCAAACUGGGGACUGCUUGUAAAACUGCUGAGCUAGAGUACGGUAGAGGGUGGUGGAAUUUCCUGUGUAGCGGUGAAAUACGUAGAUAUAGGAAGGAACACCAGUGGCGAAGGCGACCACCUGGACUGAUACUGACACUGAGGUGCGAAAGCGUGGGGAGCAAACAGGAUUAGAAACCCCAGUAGUCC
RNAcentral lists this ribosomal RNA (450 nucleotides) under uncultured bacterium. RNAcentral describes it as "partial 16S ribosomal RNA". It matches the Rfam family "Bacterial small subunit ribosomal RNA", at positions 354 to 796 of the family's 1533-position model. The record is from RNAcentral.